Molecule: ribosomal RNA, 354 nt
Filed under: Klebsiella pneumoniae
Lineage: Bacteria; Pseudomonadati; Pseudomonadota; Gammaproteobacteria; Enterobacterales; Enterobacteriaceae
Also listed under: 1 other name
Description: partial 23S ribosomal RNA
Rfam family: Bacterial large subunit ribosomal RNA
Source: RNAcentral
GCUGUGAGGCAUGCUGGAGGUAUCAGAAGUGCGAAUGCUGACAUAAGUAACGAUAAAGCGGGUGAAAAGCCCGCUCGCCGGAAGACCAAGGGUUCCUGUCCAACGUUAAUCGGGGCAGGGUGAGUCGACCCCUAAGGCGAGGCCGAAAGGCGUAGUCGAUGGGAAACAGGUUAAUAUUCCUGUACUUGGUGUUACUGCGAAGGGGGGACGGAGAAGGCUAUGUUAGCCGGGCGACGGUUGUCCCGGUUUAAGCAUGUAGGCUGGUUGUCCAGGCAAAUCCGGAUAAUCAAGGCUGAGGUGUGAUGACGAGGCACUACGGUGCUGAAGUAACAAAUGCCCUGCUUCCAGGAAAAG